AUGGGACCCACCUCCCAUAAAGGUAUGGACCUCCUAGGGGCUGGCCCAUCUUCUUUGCCCACCUUACUUGGGGAAAGGAAGCCUCAUUUUCCCCUACCGUACCGAAAGAAAGUAAAGUCUGCGCCUCCCUUUCAGAAGUUUUCUCCUCGUCCCCUUGCCCACACACGGGACAAACCGAGGCUCAGGGUUUCACGGCGGUCUGAGGGGGUUCGGGUGUCCGGGUUGAGCUGCGGGUGGUGGCCAGGCAGCCGGGAUUCCCGAGCAACGCGGAUGGGUGAGCGCCCCCUAGGGUCUGGUCAGCGGGCAUGGGCAGGAAAGUGGCUGGUGCGGGCGGGAGGGCUGUGGCCGAGGAGCUUCCGGGAGCCGGGGCAGGGGCACUUCCCGGCGGAGCUUGCCGCCCGCAGCGCUGGGCCGCGCAGACUUUAAGAAACAAUAUACAACCAACACACGGAAAAGUGCAUAGAUCCCGAGUCCCACCAAACCACUUUUCACAAGCUCUCUUGUGCAACCUGCAUCAGGAACAGUAAGUCUAUGAUGUAUGCUACUUGAAGUAUAACAUCCUGUCAAAAAGGCAGACUGUGAAUUGUUUAUCCAUUUCACUGAAGGACAUGGUUGUUUUCAGCUUUGGCCUGUUGUGAGUAGCGUGACUUUAGUGCCUUUGUUCAGUUUGACUAUUUAGUACACAGCAGCUUCCCAACAUAGCUAUGCUUGGGACCAGAGCAAAGGCUCAGUGGUUAAAAGCACUGACCACUGUUUCAGAGGACCCUGGAUCAGUCUCCUUACCCACAGAGUGGCUUACAAAAAUUUGUAACUCUGGUUCCAGGUGAUCAGUGCCCUCUCUGGCCACUACAGGCACGUGGCAUGAAAGCGAUACAUAGACUUACGCACAGGCAAAACAUCCAUACACAGAAACUAACGUUUUGUUUUUUAAGUUAAAAAUAAAAGUUGUUCUUGCUAGCUAGCUACCUCAGCAGACACCUGUGAUCUCAGCACUCUGGUGGAGAUGAGAAGACAUAAGUGCAGGGCCAGCCUGGGCUAUCAGACCUUAUCUCAAAACAAAGCAAGCAAACCAACAGAAGUUACAGGAGUCACUCCCAGCCUGGUGUCAGCUCCCACUGUUCCAUGUCCUCAUCGGGCUCCAGCCAGUGUCCUCCUCUGUCAGUGUCAGCUGUUCUGCUGACUGCACAGCUUUGAAGCCCGGAGGUUCCAAUUUGCAUUUUUCUGAGGCCUGGUAAACCGAGC
Molecule: long non-coding RNA, 1242 nt
Filed under: Rattus norvegicus (Norway rat)
Lineage: Eukaryota; Metazoa; Chordata; Mammalia; Rodentia; Muridae
Description: long non-coding RNA NONRATT033656
Source: RNAcentral